UGGGGAAUUUUGGACAAUGGGCGAAAGCCUGAUCCAGCAAUGCCGCGUGUGUGAAGAAGGCCUUCGGGUUGUAAAGCACUUUUGUCCGGAAAGAAAUGGCUCUGGUUAAUACCUGGGGUCGAUGACGGUACCGGAAGAAUAAGGACCGGCUAACUACGUGCCAGCAGCCGCGGUAAUACGUAGGGUCCAAGUGUUAAUCGGAAUUACUGGGCGUAAAGCGUGCGCAGGCGGUUGUGCAAGACCGAUGUGAAAUCCCCGAGCUUAACUUGGGAAUUGCAUUGGUGACUGCACGGCUAGAGUGUGUCAGAGGGGGGUAGAAUUCCACGUGUAGCAGUGAAAUGCGUAGAGAUGUGGAGGAAUACCGAUGGCGAAGGCAGCCCCCUGGGAUAACACUGACGCUCAUGCACGAAAGCGUGGGGAGCAAACAGG
This 429-nucleotide ribosomal RNA is filed under the name bacterium. Its description in RNAcentral is "partial 16S ribosomal RNA". It matches the Rfam family "Bacterial small subunit ribosomal RNA", at positions 355 to 776 of the family's 1533-position model. The record is from RNAcentral. RNAcentral also lists the same sequence under 1 other name.